Long non-coding RNA from Carassius gibelio (silver crucian carp), 867 nucleotides. RefSeq lists it as uncharacterized. The record is from RefSeq and is a predicted model, not a curated record. The transcript has 3 exons. NCBI's taxonomy places the organism in Eukaryota, Metazoa, Chordata, Actinopteri, Cypriniformes, Cyprinidae.
GUUAGCAAUUGAUGUAAUUUUUACAAUAAAUUUUACAACAACGCACUGUAUUCAUGUUUUUGUUGUAAAUCCAAAUGCAUGAUGGGAAAUUAACGGACAGUCCUGUAAAAUUAUUGUAACUACACUGUAGAAGCAUUUUUUUACAGCAACCGCAUAGCAUUGUGGGAUCGCUGCUGUUUGAAUUUUGAAAUUACGCGGCCAACGGACGGUACCAGAAGUAUUUUAACAUUUUUUUGGAAGAAAGAACAUGUCUCAGGAGAGGCACUAAGUGCAGACAAAUGGAUGAUGUCUUUGGAAGGGACAACUGUGAUGGGGCCCCACAACAACCUUCUGAAUGGAGUGCAGCGACCUUCGCUGUCUACGUGUCUAACUAACAGUAUCCUAAAGAGGCCUCAAGCACUAAAGAGCUUUUUGUGGAAUCGAUUCCAAGAUGUCAGCAAAGCAGUGAAGAGACGGGGGAUCAACGCACCUGUCUGCACCUUAUUAAGAAGACUCCUGGGUUUUGAGUUGAUGGGCUAGUAUUGAUGCCCACCCACACCCCACAGCUUCCCCAGUUCAAGACUGGUUGGGACCUUUUGUUAUUUAUUACCAUGUUCCCCCUGAUGAUAGACUGUCUGGACGUCUGGAAGUGAGCUAGAUUCUUCAGUGAAAUUGUAAUUUUAUUUGUAUGAAGAAAAAAAAGAUAAAAUAAGUUUGUUAUAUGUGAUGUUGCAUAGUGUGUUAAUAAAAAAAAAUAAUAAAAAGUUGCCAUUGUUUUGGUUUUAAUUUUGGAAGAUGGAAAAUUGCAGUAUUUUAUUAUUUUGAAUUACAAUAUUGUAAUUGUCUCCUGUAAAAUUACAGGAAAUUCCUGGCAACUGAGUUGCAGUA